GUGGAGCAAAACUCAAAAACUUGUCUCAGUUCGGAUUGUAGGCUGAAACUCGCCUACAUGAAGCUGGAGUUGCUAGUAAUCGCGAAUCAGCAUGUCGCGGUGAAUACGUUCCCGGGCCUUGUACACACCGCCCGUCACACCAUGAGAGUUGGCAAUACCCAACGUACGUGAUCUAACCCGCAAGGGAGGAAGCGUCCUAAGGUAGGGUCAGCGAUUGGGGUGAAGUCGUAACAAGGUACC
Molecule: ribosomal RNA, 240 nt
Filed under: uncultured bacterium
Lineage: Bacteria
Description: partial 16S ribosomal RNA
Rfam family: Bacterial small subunit ribosomal RNA
Source: RNAcentral